RNAcentral lists this unclassified non-coding RNA (149 nucleotides) under uncultured fungus. RNAcentral's name for it is "sequence contains ITS1, 5.8S rRNA gene". The record is from RNAcentral. Lineage: Eukaryota; Fungi.
GUGAAUAACGUGUUCGUCUUCGCUUCGGCAAGGCGUUCGCACCCUCACAUCCAUAACACCUGUGAACUGUAAGACGUGGCGAUUCGUUGCCCGUCUGACCUUUUUAUAAACAACUGUAGUAACAAAAGUAGUAUUAUUAUAACCUAAUA